This 424-nucleotide ribosomal RNA is filed under the name Physconia thorstenii. Its description in RNAcentral is "partial 18S ribosomal RNA". Lineage: Eukaryota; Fungi; Ascomycota; Lecanoromycetes; Caliciales; Physciaceae. The record is from RNAcentral.
ACGGAAAGCCUUGCAAUCAGUCUGCUCUAUCGAGCGGNCGACGCUAGACUGAUGCUGGGAGACGGCCUCUGCGAAGGGCCUGACCAGCAGCGGCCGCGUUUGCGAACGCGGCCGGUUCACAGAUCAUGUUCNAGCGGUCCCUGGGGAUUUUGAUAUGACCGGUCUCGCGCCGCAAUGUGCGAGAGCCUCGUUCCGUAGGUGCAGAGUUCGCCUACCGCAUACCCAAUGCGCGGUCUGCACCCUUGGGUGCAGGCAACACCGAUUCAAAUGCUGGGCGUGCCGGGCGCAAGCCCGUCACCAUCAGCAGCCGGCGCUCUGGCGUUCGGCCCACAGAUCAUCCGACGGUGACCUAUCGAGGUUAAGAUAUGAUCGGUCCCGGCCCGCCCUGGGCCUUGGGAGGCACGGAACCUGCGGAAGGAUCAUU